This is a non-coding RNA of 182 nucleotides. It matches the Rfam family "6S / SsrS RNA". From Rfam's summary of the family: E. coli 6S RNA was the first non coding RNA to be sequenced, but its function was unknown until recently. It consists of 184 nucleotides that fold into an extended hairpin structure with a large single-stranded internal bulge. The record is from Rfam.
UUAGUCCUGAUGUGUUCGUCCUUAAUCCAGUUUUGACCGAACAAUUUUUUGCUUGGGAGCUCGGAGUUUUUAACGAGCGUACAUGCCUCAUCUCGAGGACUUACAAUGGUUAAAGCAGAGCACCCACCUGCCGAGAGCGGGUUCAAAACGAAGGCACUCGAGACGGCACGAUCGGGACUAGC